Molecule: long non-coding RNA, 762 nt
Organism: Crotalus tigris (Tiger rattlesnake)
Lineage: Eukaryota; Metazoa; Chordata; Lepidosauria; Squamata; Viperidae
Exons: 2
Source: RefSeq, a predicted model, not a curated record
UGAAGAGCAGAACCACAAGACAUGUGGCUCUGGAGCAGCUGACUACCUGGUACUGGGAAUGGCUCCUUCUCCUAUUUCCCAGCAAUUGCCCUCAACAUGAGUUGGAUCAACGUGAUUUUGAAGCCUGAUUUGCAGUGGAGAAGAAAACCUCCUUGCCGGGAAGAGAAGAAGAAAAAUAGCAAAUGGAGUUAAGGGCCAGUCCUGCUCCUUGCCUAUUAAUUAAAGCCUCAGAGGCACUGCCUGAAUAGAGCUGCACUGUUAUUGGAGACUUCAGGCAGUAAAAGCAAGAGAGAUUCUCCUCUUUUCUCUUUCUUGGGCAUACAUGCUUAAGAAAAAAAAUAAGAAAAGGCAGUCAAAUGAGUUUCUCGCUUUUGUUUCAUCAGUGCAAUCUCACUAUCUCUUUUUCUUUGUUCUUCACUUUAGAGAACGAGGAGAAGAAGGAGGAGGAGGAGGAGGAGGAAAUAAAUCUUUCUGCAUGUGGAGAUUGUAACAAUCUAGUGUGCACUCUCCCCAUGUCAGAUUGACAAGCACCACUAUUAUUUAAUUACAGAGACUCCACUUACACACUUUGAGGCUGUGAUUCUCAUAGCCAUAGGACCACACCAAGCUAGGGAAGAUGGAAUCUGCAAACUGAUAGAAGCGUGGAAGCACAGGCAAUAGUUUAAGCAUAUGAGCAAGAGAAAGUCUAAAUCUAUAAAACACAGCUAAUCCCAGUCCAUAUCUCUUGUAUAAAUGUAUCAAAAUUAAGAAAGAAAAAAAAAA